AUUGAACGCUGGCGGCAGGCUUAACACAUGCGAGUCGAGCGGAGAGAGGUAGCUUGCUACUGAUCUUAGCGGCGGACGGGUGAGUAAUGCUUAGGAAUCUGCCUAUUAGUGGGGGACAACAUUUCGAAAGGAAUGCUAAUACCGCAUACGUCCUACGGGAGAAAGCAGGGGAUCUUCGGACCUUGCGCUAAUAGAUGAGCCUAAGUCGGAUUAGCUAGUUGGUGGGGUAAAGGCCUACCAAGGCGACGAUCUGUAGCGGGUCUGAGAGGAUGAUCCGCCACACUGGGACUGAGACACGGCCCAGACUCCUACGGGAGGCAGCAGUGGGGAAUAUUGGACAAUGGGCGCAAGCCUGAUCCAGCCAUGCCGCGUGUGUGAAGAAGGCCUUAUGGUUGUAAAGCACUUUAAGCGAGGAGGAGGCUACUUUAGUUAAUACCUAGAGAUAGUGGACGUUACUCGCAGAAUAAGCACCGGCUAACUCUGUG
RNAcentral lists this ribosomal RNA (485 nucleotides) under uncultured bacterium. RNAcentral's name for it is "partial 16S ribosomal RNA". It matches the Rfam family "Bacterial small subunit ribosomal RNA", at positions 30 to 507 of the family's 1533-position model. The record is from RNAcentral.